Long non-coding RNA from Saccoglossus kowalevskii, 365 nucleotides. The record is from RefSeq and is a predicted model, not a curated record. Lineage: Eukaryota; Metazoa; Hemichordata; Enteropneusta; Harrimaniidae.
GCACCAUCAGGACAAUAUUAACCAGCGCCUUUAGGUGUGGUGAGAUGUGGCAAGUCUUGCUGUAUCCCGCAUUCACUGAUCGUUAAAGUGUCUGCAAACAAGGGUUUUGGUUACCAAGAACAUGGGCAGUUGGCAAAUACGUACGAGGUUUCUUUUCUUGAUAGUGUCCAUGGUUAUAUUUCUACUGUCUAUUGUUAUACAUAAUGACAAACUGAUCAAAAGACCCACAAUUACAAUUGCUGAGAUUCUAGAAGAGAACUACAGCUCAGCUCCAACUGGGAGAAGACACAAUAACACGACGCAUGGCUCAGUUGGACACGAUGCUCACCACUUCGUAUCAUACGAACUACCAGUAACGGACCAUG